CCUAGUANUUCNCCUUGAGUUUGUAUGGCUCAGAUUGACGCUGGCGGAUGCCUUACCAUGCUAGUCGAGCGGCAGCGCGGGGGCAACCCUGGCGGCGAGCGGCGGACGGGUGAGUAGUGCAUCGGAACGUGUCCUCUUGUGGGGGAUAACCAGUCGAAAGACUGGCUAAUACCGCAUGAGCUCGUAAGAGGAAAGCAGGGGACCCGCAAGGGCCUUGCGCGAGAGGAGCGGCCGAUGCCCGAUUAGCUAGUUGGUGGGGUAAUGGCCCACCAAGGCGACGAUCGGUAGCUGGUCUGAGAGGACGACCAGCCACACUGGGACUGAGACACGGCCCAGACUCCUACGGGAGGCAGCAGUGGGGAAUUUUGGACAAUGGGGGAAACCCUGAUCCAGCCAUGCCGCGUGUGUGAAGAAGGCCUUCGGGUUGUAAAGCACUUUCGGACGGAACGAAAUCGCGCGGGUGAACAAUCCGCGCGGAUGACGGUACCGUAAGAAGAAGCACCGGCUAACUACGUGCCAGCAGCCGCGGUAAUACGUAGGGUGCGAGCGUUAAUCGGAAUUACUGGGCGUAAAGUGUGCGCAGGCGGCCGCGCAAGUCGAGUGUGAAAGCCCCGAGCUUAACUUGGGAUUGCGCUCGAAACUACUGGCUGGAGUGUGGCAACGACGUGGAAUCCCGUGUAGCGUGAAUGCGUAAGAUGUGAGACACGAGGCGAGGCGCUUCUGGCACACUGACCCUGCAGAAGCUGGACAACAGAUAAACCUGCAUCACC
RNAcentral lists this ribosomal RNA (770 nucleotides) under uncultured bacterium. RNAcentral's name for it is "bacterial SSU rRNA". It matches the Rfam family "Bacterial small subunit ribosomal RNA", at positions 1 to 782 of the family's 1533-position model. The record is from RNAcentral.